UCAGGCCUAACACAUGCAAGUCGAGGGGUAGAACAUUUCGGUGUUUGAGACCGGCGCACGGGUGCGUAACGCGUAUGCAACCUACCUUUUACAGGGGAAUAGCCCAGAGAAAUUUGGAUUAAUGCCCCAUGGUAUAUUUAGAUGGCAUCAUCUGAUUAUUAAAGUUCCAACGGUAAAAGAUGGGCAUGCGUCCUAUUAGCUAGAUGGUAAGGUAACGGCUUACCAUGGCAACGAUAGGUAGGGGUCCUGAGAGGGAGAUCCCCCACACUGGUACUGAGACACGGACCAGACUCCUACGGGAGGCAGCAGUGAGGAAUAUUGGACAAUGGGCGCAAGCCUGAUCAAGCCAUGCCGCGUGCAGGAAGAAGCAUCUAUGGAUGUAAAGGGCUUUUGUACGGGAAGAAACACUCCUACGUGUAGGAGC
RNAcentral lists this ribosomal RNA (424 nucleotides) under uncultured bacterium. RNAcentral's name for it is "bacterial SSU rRNA". It matches the Rfam family "Bacterial small subunit ribosomal RNA", at positions 42 to 468 of the family's 1533-position model. The record is from RNAcentral.